CAGCGGUAGGAGUGGUGGAGGGCUCUGGCUGCGGGCGGCUCCAGCAGACAGCAAAGUGCGCGGUGGAGCGAUAGGGACGAGGCUCCGUAUUUCAGUACAAAAGGUGCCCGCGGAGCAGCUUUUAUCUGCGAGGCGAGAUGUGACACAGACGCGGAUCACCGUUGCGACAGGAGGUUGUGAUGCAGCGGCUGAGGGUGGUGUCAGGACCUUCAGAGUGAUGAAGCAUUAUUUCCAGUGAUUUUUGCCUCCGGGAUAAAAAUGAGAGCUGCUCCUAUCAGCGAGCGGGAAUCACCCUGGGGCUGGCGGAGGGAGGACGCGACUGAGCGUGAGCCACACGCAGCCCUGCCCGGACCUGUGGGCUCAGCCCCACUUCUCUUUGCACAGCACAGACCUGAUGGCCUUGGGAUGGCCAACGGAAGGCGCUGAGCUGCGCCGAGUUCUUGGGUUGGGAUUCACCCCUGCGCCCAUUGCAGCGAGAAUGACUCUGUUCCCAAUACAGCUGCACUGCACAGGUCUCCAGGAAAACCAGCUUUUCUCUCCUUUCUUUUUCCCUUAAUAUUUUUUUUUGUUUGCCCCUAAGCAACGUGCACACAAACCGCUCCGCACACAGCAACCAACCAAC
RNAcentral lists this long non-coding RNA (622 nucleotides) under Gallus gallus (chicken). The record is from RNAcentral. Lineage: Eukaryota; Metazoa; Chordata; Aves; Galliformes; Phasianidae.